RNAcentral lists this ribosomal RNA (454 nucleotides) under uncultured bacterium. Its description in RNAcentral is "bacterial SSU rRNA". It matches the Rfam family "Bacterial small subunit ribosomal RNA", at positions 29 to 523 of the family's 1533-position model. The record is from RNAcentral.
AACGAACGCUGGCGGCAUGCCUAACACAUGCAAGUCGAACGAGACCUUCGGGUCUAGUGGCGCACGGGUGCGUAACGCGUGGGAACCUGCCUUUAGGUUCGGAAUAACUCAGAGAAAUUUGAGCUAAUACCGGAUAAUGUCUUCGGACCAAAGAUUUAUCGCCUUUAGAUGGGCCCGCGUAAGAUUAGCUAGUUGGUGGGGUAAAGGCCUACCAAGGCGACGAUCUUUAGCUGGUCUGAGAGGAUGAUCAGCCACACUGGGACUGAGACACGGCCCAGACUCCUACGGGAGGCAGCAGUGGGGAAUAUUGGACAAUGGGCGAAAGCCUGAUCCAGCAAUGCCCGCGUGAGUGAUGAAGGGCCUUAGGGGUUUGUAAAAGCUCUUUUACCCGAGAUGAUAAUGACAGUAUCGGGAGAAUAAGCUCCGGCUAACUCCGUGCCAGCAGCCGCGGUAA